RNAcentral lists this ribosomal RNA (898 nucleotides) under uncultured crenarchaeote. Its description in RNAcentral is "bacterial SSU rRNA". It matches the Rfam family "Archaeal small subunit ribosomal RNA", at positions 1 to 879 of the family's 1478-position model. The record is from RNAcentral. Lineage: Archaea; Thermoproteati; Thermoproteota.
UUCCGGUUGAUCCUGCCGGACCYGACUGCUAUCGGAGUAGGACUAAGCCAUGCGAGUCGUACGUCCUUUGACUAUGCGAGGGGCGUGGCGAACGGCUCAGUAACACGUAGUUAAUCUACCCUGAAGAUGUGGAUAACCCCGGGAAACUGGGAUUAAUAUGCGAUAAGGGAAAACUUCUGGAAUGGGUUUUCCUUGAAAAGGGUGAGUAGGCAUGACUCAUUUGUUUCAGGAUGGGACUGCGACCGAUCAGGUUGUUGGUGGGGUAAUGGCCUACCAAGCCUUCUACCGGUACGGGCUUUGAGAGAAGGAGCCUGGAGAUGGACACUGAGAUAAGGGUCCAGGUCCUACGGGGCGCAGCAGGCGCGAAAACUUCGCAAUGUGCGAAAGCGCGACGAGGCUACCCCGAGUGUCAUCCGCUGAGGAUGACUUUUACUAAGUCCAAAUAGCUUAGAGAAUAAGGGGAGGGCAAGACUGGUGUCAGCCGCCGCGGUAAUACCAGCUCCCCGAGUGGUUGGGACGAUUAUUGGGCCUAAAGCAUCCGUAGCCGGCUCUAUGAGUCUUCCGUUAAAUUCAACGGCUCAACCGUUGAGCUGCGGGAGAUACCGUAGGGCUAGGAGGCGGGAGAGGCGGACGGUAUUCCAUGGGUAGGGGUAAAAUCUUCUGAACCAUGGAGGACCACCAGUGGCGAAGGCGGUCCGCCAGAACGCGCUCGACGGUGAGGGAUGAAAGCUGGGGGAGCGAACCGGAUUAGAUACCCGGGUAGUCCCAGCUGUAAACUUUGCGAGCUAGGUGAUGGGGUGGCUACGAGCCACUCCAGUGCCGCAGGGAAGCCGUUAAGCUCGCCGCCUGGGGAGUACGGUCGCAAGACUGAAACUUAAAGGAAUUGGCGGGGGAGCAC